UGCUCACAUUCAGAGACAGUUUCUGAAUGUUAAGCCAUACGGACAGGCGGGGCAGUUGCCGG
Non-coding RNA from Ruminococcus sp. CAG:9-related_41_34, 62 nucleotides. NCBI's taxonomy places the organism in Bacteria, Bacillati, Bacillota, Clostridia, Eubacteriales, Oscillospiraceae. The record is from Rfam.